AGACAUCGUGCUUCUUCUGGUGGGCCAGGAGUCUCUCCUCGUCGUCGAAGGUCUGGCCACAGAUGGCACAGCAGAAGGCGCCGUCCCGGAUGUGGCUCUUGCGCCCCGGACAGGAGCUGCCAUCUAUGAACCCCUAGAGCCCCGGACAUGGAGCUAGACUACUCUCCUGUUUCCUUGUGUGUGCCUUAUGCUGCCCUCUCCCUGUGUCUGCUGUUUCCUAUGCCACAUCCGAGCUGCACAGCAACUCUGAGAAGCUGGACAAACAGACACUGAGCUCCCUGUUUAACAGAUGAAGCAACUGUGAGACAUCAAAGAUGACGAGACCUGCCCAAGGUGACACAAAAGAAAAUGAGUGGCAAAGGAGUUGCGAAGGGAUUCCUGAGCCUUUAUGCCAGCUGGAAGCUUAAGGCCUUGGUAUUUGAGACUUCACCCUUCAAAAUGUCUUGGAGGAUGGCCCAGCAACCAGCCAAAUGGCCCAAUGGCCUAGCCCAGUGGAGACGGUCUCAGCUUUUGACAAGCUAGCCGGAGAAAGGGCUGGACAGGAAGGGGCCCACUGGACAGCGAAUAUUGAUAGGGCCCCUGGGAGGAUCAAUUUUCCCCUCCAACAGUGCCUGGCUCCCAUUAUCAGAUUAGAUGCAAAGUGGGCUGGCAUGCCAGGGGGUGACAGGAACAGUGUCUCCAGAAAUCCUCUGUGAAGACACCCAAGUAUUGUUCAGAAGUGGCCCUGUAUCUGGAAGAGGGAAAACUGCACCCACUUCUUGCAGACAUACAGUUCCAGCUCCCCCCACAGGACUUGCUCAUACAUCCAACAAAUAUUUAAUCAGUGCCCACCAUCUGCCACUGUGCCAGGUGCCCGGCCUCAUCAUGAGUCAGGCAGAGGUGGUCUGUGCAGUUUUCCCACAAUGUGAGAGGGUGCUGAGAAGACUUUUAACGCUUAUUUAACUACGGAAAUAACUCUUGGUUUGGUACCUACUACAAAAUAAAAACAAGCGCUUGUUGAUAAUUUCUGGAUGGAUGACUGUGGAAAGCUGGAGGAGACUGAGGAUCAAUUUGCUCUAAUGAACCUUCCCUUGACUAUCAUCUCCGUUACCUCCUGCCGCAUCCCUACGGCAAAUAUGCAAGACUCUCACGCAGCUAAUUUCCAGGGGUUUGCAGUCUGGGGAGGAAGCAGAAAGCACAUCCCUCACUGACCCUGAGGAGGGGCAAAUCUCUGGUAGCAGUCACAGGUACGUGCUGUACACACUUCCCAUCCUUUGAGCCUUCCCAGCUGGAGAGCACCAAGAGAACGCAGUUGGGGAGGCCCCGAAAGAUGAAGGGUUGUUGAGCUUGAAGGCAGUGAAAAAGUAAAUGGAAGAAAGCUCUCUGCCCUCCACUGCCUAAAUGCAGGAUAUAGAUUUAGAAGGAUAAAAGGGGUCUGCUCCCUCUCUCGACCAGGGAAAAGUUAACCACUGAAGACAACUUUAGACUCUUAUGGGCCUGGAGCUGGAACCAGAGGAAUGGACAUGAAGGCGCUUUACUAACUCUAUUUAUCUGCCAGUUACUUACCUUUCUACAAGUUCUCCCCUUAGACACUCAAAGUUCUUUUCCUUUGUCCUGUCGCUUCCCUAAAACUUGGCUUUUCUUUGUUGAAGAUGCUAUACAAGCUGGAAUUCAAAGCUACCACUUUGAGAACUACUCAAUUCCUGCGUGUCUCCCAGGCAGAUGUGAAAUACACAUGUUAAUAAACUUCCACUGGUUUUUCUCUUGUUAA
This 1750-nucleotide long non-coding RNA is filed under the name Homo sapiens (human). RNAcentral describes it as "REPIN1 antisense RNA 1, transcript variant 1 (REPIN1-AS1)". Lineage: Eukaryota; Metazoa; Chordata; Mammalia; Primates; Hominidae. The record is from RNAcentral.